This 261-nucleotide long non-coding RNA is filed under the name Linum usitatissimum (flax). RNAcentral describes it as "long non-coding RNA (LUSI_LNC000651)". Lineage: Eukaryota; Viridiplantae; Streptophyta; Magnoliopsida; Malpighiales; Linaceae. The record is from RNAcentral.
UCUCAAUGCUCAUCAAUUCUUCCCCCGAUGCUGUUGUUAACAACAUUGGUCCGCUGAAUGCCCGUUUUAUCUCCCCUCUGCUUCGAGUGAUCAUCCCAUCCAACAUCUCACUGUCAUCAUUGAAUGAAGCUCUCCGGCUCAGCAUCUCUAUAUCCUGAGACAGAAAUCAAAAUCCAGACAGCCAUAUGAGGUACAUGAACUCACUCUUGACAACUUAGUUACUGCUUGUGAAUAAACAAACAUGAGGAUUAGAAAGCUUUC